UAAUCGCUAUGGGAUGGUAGAUUUAUUAGAAGAUGCUCAUAAUGGUAUAUCAGGAGGUCCUUCCAGUUGGUUGGGGAAAACUACUCAUUUAGAAGCCAUUAAUCUGAAUACUGGUGUUAUAAUUACAGUGGAUAAUGAUACAAACCUAAAAAAUCUGUUCGAUAUGUAUAAGAAUAUGGAGACAAAAGAGAUUCAUAUAAAACUAAAUAUAAUGAAUGAAAAUCUUGAUGAAGUUGAAGAUGAAAAUUUUCAGUGGACUGACAAUGAGGAGGAUGAAGAUACGAUUGAGAAUAUGGUGAUCACUCGGACUAACAAAAUGAUGAUGUUCUAUCUGAUUAUGAAUCUGAUGAAAACACAGUAUUUGA
This 365-nucleotide long non-coding RNA is filed under the name Capsicum annuum. RNAcentral describes it as "long non-coding RNA (CANN_LNC010256)". The record is from RNAcentral. Lineage: Eukaryota; Viridiplantae; Streptophyta; Magnoliopsida; Solanales; Solanaceae.